Long non-coding RNA from Xiphophorus hellerii (green swordtail), 488 nucleotides. RefSeq lists it as uncharacterized. The transcript is spliced from 2 exons. The record is from RefSeq and is a predicted model, not a curated record. Lineage: Eukaryota; Metazoa; Chordata; Actinopteri; Cyprinodontiformes; Poeciliidae.
GAUGCUUACACAUAAUGUGCUGAACUGUAGGAGCCAACUACUGAGAGCCAUAAAGGGGGUGAAAAAAAUCUGUUUGUGUGAGAUAAAACUGCGGAAUUGGCCAGGUUCGAUGGUGAGCUAGAACCCAAGAAAAGAUUGCACUUUUGGUGCUGGAAGACUUCUGCUUCUCCUGCCAGGCUGGUAGGAGGCUCCUUGCAGCUAAUGAACAAUUUUGUCCCCACUCUGAUCUGACUUUGGUCAGCUGAUGACCUGCACUGCACCAAGCAUUUUAUUAGUAAUCUGCUUGGGACCUCUAAUCAACCCCAGCUUGGGGGUAGAUGAACUGAAGGGUGUGGGUUCAUUUAUGUUGGAACUGUGGGAUUGAUAAAUUUGAUCGUUUUUUUUUUCUUUAUUUUUUGCGCAUUUUUAUAUGGCCAUUUGGAUGUUUCCACUGUUGUAAAUAUGUAUAUAAUUUUUUCCACACUAUAAAUACAAGGCACUCGCAACUG